GGUGAAGGUGUGUAGUAUGGGGGUGGUGGGGAGCUGUAGACGUACGGUGGUGGGGGAGAUUUGUAGACUAUCUUAGGAGAAGGUGAGUAGUAUGGUGGUGGUGGUGAGCUGUAGACGUAUGGUGGUGGUGGAGACUUGUAGUCUACCUUAGGUGAUGGUGAGUAGUAUGGUGGUGGUGGAGAACUGUAAACAUAUGGUGGAGGAGGAGAUUUGUAGUCUACCUUCGGGGUUGGUGAGUAGUAUGGUGGUGGUGGGGAACUGUAAACAUAUGGUGGAGGAGGAGACUUGUAUACAACCUUAGGGGAUGGAGAGUAGUAUGGUGGUGGUGGAGAACUGUAGACAUACGGUGGUGGGGGAGAUUUGUAGUCUACCUUAGGGGAAGGUGAGUAGUAUGGGGGUGGUGGGGAGCUGUAGACGUACGGUGGUGGGGGAGAUUUGUAGACUAUCUUAGGAGAAGGUGAGUAGUAUGGUGGUGGUGGUGAGCUGUAGACGUAUGGUGGUGGUGGAGACUUGUAGUCUACCUUAG
This 526-nucleotide long non-coding RNA is filed under the name Arabidopsis thaliana (thale cress). RNAcentral's name for it is "long non-coding RNA (ATHA_LNC000136)". The record is from RNAcentral. Lineage: Eukaryota; Viridiplantae; Streptophyta; Magnoliopsida; Brassicales; Brassicaceae.